GGCCCGGUGGCGUAGCGGUUAACUACUCACUUGGUGUCCCAUAAGGGGUGCGGGUUCGAAUCCUGCAGGGCUCAUUUAACCAAUUUCCACUGUUAAAUCACCAAACAGUACCAGAUGUAACCGGCCCCUUUUAAGAUGCUGGCUAUAACCAGGUGCUAAAUUCUCACUGAUCUUGUGGGGCUAGAACCCCCUGAGUGCAUCAAGUUAGAUCAGUACUGGAUAGAUAAGGUGUUGUGGAGGUGGAGACACCUGCAGGAUAGUGAAUCAUUGUCAAGCUUAACUGACCAGGGGUUCACCACCACUUCACCCACUACUAUCUAGACACCUCUAAAUUCUGGGGAAUGAAUUUAAAAACUACCCGAUUAGGGCACCCCGGGCCUAGCAAGGACCUAGGUGAGACGAGGCCUAGGCGCCCUUAAUAGGUGGUUAGUGCAAGCAAGGCCGUGACGGCCAAUUGGUAGGCUGGAAUGCCGAGAUUGGCAGCCGGAAGGUCGGGGGGAACCCGGGUGGGCGGCGGCACCCUAGGGGGAAUGAUAACCCCUAAUGGUGGCCCGAGAGGACAGAGGCGGCGGCCGGUUAUAUAGGGUGUUAAAAUAUGUAUAUAG
RNAcentral lists this small RNA (605 nucleotides) under Histoplasma capsulatum. Its description in RNAcentral is "hypothetical RNA". Lineage: Eukaryota; Fungi; Ascomycota; Eurotiomycetes; Onygenales; Ajellomycetaceae. RNAcentral also lists the same sequence under 1 other name. The record is from RNAcentral.